RNAcentral lists this long non-coding RNA (609 nucleotides) under Anas platyrhynchos platyrhynchos (common mallard). RNAcentral describes it as "lncRNA (ENSAPLG00000028744.1)". Lineage: Eukaryota; Metazoa; Chordata; Aves; Anseriformes; Anatidae. The record is from RNAcentral.
AUGUUGAUUUGUAUCCAGUCUAGAAAAAUGCUAGUGGCAAAAUCUGUUUGUCAUUUUUUCAAAAUAUCAGUGGGUAAUAUUAAUAUUAAUAUUAAAAUCCUUCUACAUCCUCAGGUUUGGAUUUUGUUGUUCUUGUGGAAGUUUAAAUCUGACCUGAUAUUGACACUCCGGAUCAGUCUCUCUUACUGAGAAUAUGUUCUGACAGAGCUGAGAAUAAAAGGAAAUGAAGAGACAUUGAACUCCUUCAGACUUCAACAGCAAUGGGUUGAAAUAGUGAACAUGAUGUUCACUGAUGAACAGUUAUAAGACCUCUUUCUAUCUACUGCCUAUACAAAGCAGUAAUUAAAUAUUUCUAAUAACAAAACAGAGACAGAUAUAAUGAAUGCAUCAAGACUACAAAAGACACAUUGCAGCCUAUUCUAGUAUUAAUCCGUAAGUAUGUUAUUUAUCUCUACUAUACGGUUGCAAAUAAUUUAUCUGCACUUUUUAAAUGUCUGAGGUCUUCUUUUCACCUUUAAUUUCUUGUUAAUAGUUGCAGACAUUUCAGAUAAGUCCAUAUUCACUGGAAGUUUUUACUGUGAAUUGUACAUCAUUUUCAGUAAAUUAAUG